Molecule: transfer RNA, 67 nt
Filed under: Gobiodon micropus
Lineage: Eukaryota; Metazoa; Chordata; Actinopteri; Gobiiformes; Gobiidae
Description: tRNA-Cys
Source: RNAcentral
AGCCCCGAGGUGUUUUACACGUUAGAUUGCAAACCUUAAAUAGUAGACUGAACGUCUGCCGGGGCUU